RNAcentral lists this unclassified non-coding RNA (580 nucleotides) under uncultured bacterium. RNAcentral's name for it is "partial contains 16S ribosomal RNA, 16S-23S ribosomal RNA intergenic spacer, and 23S ribosomal RNA". The stretch from base 467 to 580 matches the Rfam family "Bacterial large subunit ribosomal RNA", at positions 1 to 114 of the family's 2925-position model. The record is from RNAcentral.
UCUGGAGCUGGAAUCUCUAGAUUAAGUCCGAUGAGGUAUGUAGCUCUCUGGUACUACGGUUGAAUAUGUAUAUAUAUAUGAUCUUAAACUGGAAAGACCAGUAUAUAGAGAGAAAGAUGAUGCUGAGAUGAAAAUUUCAGGCACAUAACGGUUGACAGUCCUAUAGCUCAGUUGGUUAGAGCGCUACACUGAUAAUGUAGAGGUCGGCAGUUCAACUCUGCCUGGGACUACCAGUUGAAAAACGGGGGAUUAGCUCAGCUGGCUAGAGCAUCUGCUUUGCACGCAGAGGGUCAACGGUUCGAAUCCGUUAUUCUCCACGAUAAACUCCGUAAGGGGUAAAAAAAGAUCUUUGACGUAUUGGACAACUUCAAAAAAGUAAAGUAACAAAAAAAUAGAGCAAGCUGAAGAUAUAUCAAUCCGACACGGGCUUCAAUUUUAGCAAUAAAAGGAAGCAGUGUCAGUGAUAAAGAAAGUAAGCAAGGGCAGACGGUGGAUGCCUUGGCUCUCGGAGGCGAUGAAGGACGUGAUAAGCUGCGAUAAGCUUGGGGUAGGUGCAAAUAACCUUUGAUCCCAAGAUUUC